UCCGAGUUGACCCCGGCGGUCUCCCAUGAGUCCCCACCCGAAGUGCUGGCAACAUGGAACGAGGGUUGCGCUCGUUGCGGGACUUAACCCAACAUCUCACGACACGAGCUGACGACAACCAUGCAGCAUCUGUGGUGCACCCUCGAAGGUCACACGUUUCCGUGCGCUUGCAGCACCAUGUCAAGCCCAGGUAAGGUUCUGCGCGUUGCGUCGAAUUGAACCACAUGCUCCACCGCUUGUGCGGGCCCCCGUCAAUUCCUUUGAGUUUUAGCCUUGCGGCCGUACUCCCCAGGCGGGAUGCUUAACGCGUUAACUGCGGCACAGAGGGAUUCGACUCCCCCCACACCUAGUGUCCAUCGUUUACGGCUAGGACUAC
RNAcentral lists this unclassified non-coding RNA (376 nucleotides) under uncultured bacterium. RNAcentral's name for it is "contains 16S-23S intergenic spacer region". The record is from RNAcentral.